AACCCAUGGUGAGGGCACCGUAUCAGUAGAUGUUUGUAUCUCUCCCAUGCAUCAUAUAAAGUCUCUAAAUCAAUUUGAACAAAGGAAGAGAUAUCAUUCAUCAACUU
This is a non-coding RNA of Gossypium arboreum, 107 nucleotides long. Lineage: Eukaryota; Viridiplantae; Streptophyta; Magnoliopsida; Malvales; Malvaceae. The record is from Rfam.